CACUAUGAAGCUAAGUUUCAGCAUCAGCCUUUUAAGCUGGAGAUUGGUGUUUACACUCACCCUUAGUGA
Molecule: transfer RNA, 69 nt
Filed under: Protopterus annectens (West African lungfish)
Lineage: Eukaryota; Metazoa; Chordata; Ceratodontiformes; Protopteridae
Description: tRNA-Lys
Rfam family: tRNA
About the family: Transfer RNA (tRNA) molecules are approximately 80 nucleotides in length. Their secondary structure includes four short double-helical elements and three loops (D, anti-codon, and T loops). Further hydrogen bonds mediate the characteristic L-shaped molecular structure. tRNAs have two regions of fundamental functional importance: the anti-codon, which is responsible for specific mRNA codon recognition, and the 3' end, to which the tRNAs corresponding amino acid is attached (by aminoacyl-tRNA synthetases). tRNAs cope with the degeneracy of the genetic code in two manners: having more than one tRNA (with a specific anti-codon) for a particular amino acid; and 'wobble' base-pairing, i.e. permitting non-standard base-pairing at the 3rd anti-codon position.
Source: RNAcentral